This 286-nucleotide ribosomal RNA is filed under the name uncultured bacterium. Its description in RNAcentral is "partial 16S ribosomal RNA". It matches the Rfam family "Bacterial small subunit ribosomal RNA", at positions 29 to 339 of the family's 1533-position model. The record is from RNAcentral.
AGCGAACGCUGGCGGCGUGCUUAACACAUGCAAGUCGAACGAAGGCUUCGGCCUUAGUGGCGGACGGGUGAGUAACGCGUGGGAAUCUACCUUACGGCGGGGAAUAACAGUUGGAAACGACUGCUAAUACCGCAUACGCCCUUCGGGGGAAAAGGCUUUCGGCCACCGUUUGAGGAUCCCGCGUCCGAUUAGCUAGUUGGUAGGUAACGGCCUACCAAGGCGACGAUCGGUAGCUGGUCUGAGAGGAUGAUCAGCCACACUGGGACUGAGACACGGCCCAGACUCC